This is a non-coding RNA of Psilocybe cubensis, 119 nucleotides long. Lineage: Eukaryota; Fungi; Basidiomycota; Agaricomycetes; Agaricales; Agrocybaceae. The record is from the annotation of a RefSeq genome assembly.
UCCCGCUUAGCUCAGCGGUAGAGCGCGUCACUAGUAAUCUCCUCAUGAUUAUAUUUCUAUGUUGGAUUCUUUCCACCUUGGGAAUGACGAGGUCAGUCGUUCAAAUCGGCUAGUGGGAA